UAAUGUUGAGUUCUAAGGGAUGCCAUGC
RNAcentral lists this non-coding RNA (28 nucleotides) under Mus musculus (house mouse). Lineage: Eukaryota; Metazoa; Chordata; Mammalia; Rodentia; Muridae. The record is from RNAcentral.